This is a long non-coding RNA of Ornithorhynchus anatinus (platypus), 419 nucleotides long. RefSeq lists it as uncharacterized. Lineage: Eukaryota; Metazoa; Chordata; Mammalia; Monotremata; Ornithorhynchidae. The transcript has 2 exons. The record is from RefSeq and is a predicted model, not a curated record.
GCCUGUCCAUUUUGGUCUUUGAUUUCAGAAAAGUCUUCUGGGGUCAUCCUCCCUGGUAUAGCGUCAAUCUGGCUGUCAUCGCAAAUGCCUACGAGUGUCUCUGAUCUAAAGAGCCAGCGGGGCCCGGGAUGCAGUCACCCCAUCAGGGGUCAAGUAGAUGAAGUUAAAAGGGGAAGUGAUUCCUGUUGGUGGUGUGAAGAAGCUGUGGAGCAAAGAUAAAUGACUGCUCUUUGUAUUCAGAGGUUGGUGGUUCUCUUGAUGGUGCCUUGCAAGUCUUUCUCUGUGUGUCUGUCUCUCCCUACAGGAGAAGAAAGCUCCUCCUUAUCACUGUUAAUGUUAUUUUUAAUUGGUCUCAGCUGUUCUUAAUUAGCCUCAUUAACAGUCUAGUAAAAAUAAAACAAAAUUUUAGAGGUUAUGGA